UUAUUUCGGGAAUAAGCCAAAUCAAGCGAAAAAUUGGUUACCUCAAAAAGUAUGCUAAUCAAACUUUUUGCAAUUAAUUUCAUUUGCGUUCGAAGCAAAGUAAUCAAUGUGUUUCUUGCCACAUUUUGACGAACUUCGCUUUUUGAUUAAAGAAAAUAAACAGCAAAAAUAAAAAUAAAUGUAAAUUUUUUCAUACUUAUUAUAGCUUUGCGAGAAAUUUGUACACAGUUUUUUCGCCUUAAUUUUCAUCAAAUCGCAUAUCUUUAAUUAACCCAAACGUGGUGCACACAAAACGAAACCAAUUUCACACAGGAAACGUGUCGCAAGCAGCGCGUCGCGUCGCAUAGCCCCGCUGUGGCACCAAACAGAGUGCACAAAUUGAGAUGACGACUGAAGCCUGAAAAGCAAUGGAAAGUAAAAAAAAGAGACGCUGUUAACAAGAAAACCAAAAAUAAAUUGAAUGUCUCACUAUGAGUGGUAAAAGAGGAAGUGUGAGGGCGUGCGAAGCGAUGUGUGCGAGUUUAUUUUCAGCAUUCAAGAGUUCAAAGAAAAUUUUAAUGUUGGACAGAAAGGUCGGUAAAAUUGGACUGUCAGCAGUACCUCAAGUGAUCAAUUAGACAGCAGGGCAUACUUGAGGUGGUGGAGAUGAAGGUGGUAAAAGCUAAUUUAUUUAAUGCUAUAUUAGGAUUACAUUUUUAAAUAUAGGUUCAAUUUGGAAAAAAUUUAAAAUAUAAUUUUUGAAAAGAAAUGUUUGAAAAAAAAUUUGGAAAAACUUAAAAAAAAAAUUGAGAAAUAAAUAAAAAAAAUA
Zeugodacus cucurbitae (melon fly) is the source of this 808-nucleotide long non-coding RNA. RefSeq lists it as uncharacterized. The transcript has 3 exons. The record is from RefSeq and is a predicted model, not a curated record. Lineage: Eukaryota; Metazoa; Arthropoda; Insecta; Diptera; Tephritidae.